RNAcentral lists this ribosomal RNA (502 nucleotides) under uncultured bacterium. RNAcentral describes it as "partial 16S ribosomal RNA". It matches the Rfam family "Bacterial small subunit ribosomal RNA", at positions 30 to 523 of the family's 1533-position model. The record is from RNAcentral.
AUUGAACGCUGGCGGCAUGCCUUACACAUGCAAGUCGAACGGCAGCAUAGGAGCUUGCUCCUGAUGGCGAGUGGCGAACGGGUGAGUAAUAUAUCGGAACGUGCCCUAGAGUGGGGGAUAACUAGUCGAAAGACUAGCUAAUACCGCAUACGAUCUACGGAUGAAAGUGGGGGAUCGCAAGACCUCAUGCUCCUGGAGCGGCCGAUAUCUGAUUAGCUAGUUGGUGGGGUAAAAGCCUACCAAGGCAACGAUCAGUAGCUGGUCUGAGAGGACGAACAGCCACACUGGGACUGGGACACGGCCCAGACUCCUACGGGAGGCAGCAGUGGGGAAUUUUGGACAAUGGGGGCAACCCUGAUCCAGCAAUGCCGCGUGAGUGAAGAAGGCCUUCGGGUUGUAAAGCUCUUUUGUCAGGGAAGAAACGGUAGUAGCGAAUAACUACUACUAAUGACGGUGCCUGAAGAAUAAGCACCGGCUAACUACGUGCCAGCCGCCGCGGUAA